CCUUCGAUAGCUCAGUUGGUAGAGCGGUGGACUGUAGAGAGAAUUCGCUUCGAGAUGUGAUAACACAGUCGAAAGAAGCAGGCAUCCAUAGGUCGCUGGUUCAAAUCCGGCUCGAAGGA
RNAcentral lists this transfer RNA (119 nucleotides) under Musca domestica (house fly). It matches the Rfam family "tRNA". From Rfam's summary of the family: Transfer RNA (tRNA) molecules are approximately 80 nucleotides in length. Their secondary structure includes four short double-helical elements and three loops (D, anti-codon, and T loops). Lineage: Eukaryota; Metazoa; Arthropoda; Insecta; Diptera; Muscidae. The record is from Rfam by way of RNAcentral.